UACGAACCGUGCAAACGUUGUUCGGAAUCACUGGGCUUAAAGGGCGCGUAGGCGGGCAAGCAAGUCGAAGGUGAAAUCCCACGGCUCAACCGUGGAAGUGCCCCCGAUACUGCUUGUCUUGAGGGAGAUAGGGGCGUGCGGAACUUCCGGUGGAGCGGUGAAAUGCGUAGAUAUCGGAAGGAACACCGGUGGCGAAAGCGGCGCGCUGGAUCUCUUCUGACGCUGAGGCGCGAAAGCCAGGGGAGCAAACGGG
This 253-nucleotide ribosomal RNA is filed under the name uncultured bacterium. RNAcentral's name for it is "partial 16S ribosomal RNA". It matches the Rfam family "Bacterial small subunit ribosomal RNA", at positions 524 to 776 of the family's 1533-position model. The record is from RNAcentral.